This 139-nucleotide ribosomal RNA is filed under the name uncultured eukaryote. RNAcentral's name for it is "partial 18S ribosomal RNA". It matches the Rfam family "Eukaryotic small subunit ribosomal RNA", at positions 1299 to 1458 of the family's 1831-position model. The record is from RNAcentral.
UGGUGGAGUGAUUUGUCUGGUUAAUUCCGAUAACGAACGAGACCCCAACCUGCUAACUAGACUGGCCUAGUUCACGCUAGGUCAGCGCUUCUUAGAGGGACAUUUCGGAUUUACCGGAAGGAAGUUUGGGGCGAUAACA